GACGAACCGUGCGAACGUUGUUCGGAAUCAUUGGGCUUAAAGGGCGCGUAGGCGGGCUGGCCAGUCCGGGGUGAAAGCCCACGGCUCAACCGUGGAAGUGCCUUGGAUACUGCCAGUCUCGAGGGAGGUAGGGGCGUGCGGAACUUCCGGUGGAGCGGUGAAAUGCGUAGAUAUCGGAAGGAACACCAGUGGCGAAAGCGGCUUCCUGGUCCGCCACCGACGUUCAGGCACGAAAGCGUGGGGAGCAAACAGG
RNAcentral lists this ribosomal RNA (253 nucleotides) under uncultured bacterium. RNAcentral describes it as "partial 16S ribosomal RNA". It matches the Rfam family "Bacterial small subunit ribosomal RNA", at positions 524 to 776 of the family's 1533-position model. The record is from RNAcentral.